ACAUGUAUAAGUGCAGCCCCAGCAAGCCAUGGCAAGAGAAUUAGAGGAAGAAAAAUAUAGGAUCUAAUUAGUGGUAACUGCCUCUUGACAAAUAUGUAAUACAGUUGGUAAGCCUGUGUUAUGCGACAGCAAAGCAGCAAGCCAAAUCCCAGUGGACCUUCAAACCAGACUGCCCAAACAUAGCACGAUUGCCACCAAUGCCUCUUUUUGAAUUUCAGGAUAUUGAUGGACAUCACAAUUGAUAACAAUAGGUUGAAGCUGCCAAAAAUUUGAAUUAGAGGAAUCCAGAACCCACUGCCAUUAAUACGAGGAACCUUGUGGACCAAAAAGGGAAAAAUUGACCGUGAAAGAAGCAAAAUCAUGGAGAGGAUGGCUAUGGAAAUAGCAAUGUAAUCGGUAGCGCAGCCUCCUUCCACUGCACAGCUUGCCAUUCUCUAGCAUUUACAGUGAUCAAAUUUUUCUGGGUUACUAGGAUUCUAGGAAAUCAAAAUAUUACCAAAAACCUUGCACCCUUAUGAUCUAAAUCUAAAGAUUGACCAUUCCCCAUGGUUUUUGAGGCGAAAAGGAAAAGGAA
Molecule: unclassified non-coding RNA, 574 nt
Filed under: Hevea brasiliensis (rubber tree)
Lineage: Eukaryota; Viridiplantae; Streptophyta; Magnoliopsida; Malpighiales; Euphorbiaceae
Source: RNAcentral